This 551-nucleotide ribosomal RNA is filed under the name uncultured crenarchaeote. RNAcentral's name for it is "bacterial SSU rRNA". It matches the Rfam family "Archaeal small subunit ribosomal RNA", at positions 325 to 879 of the family's 1478-position model. Lineage: Archaea; Thermoproteati; Thermoproteota. The record is from RNAcentral.
ACGGGGUGCAGCAGGCGCGAAAACUCCACAAUGUACGGAAGUACGAUGGGUUAUCUGGAGUGCAGUCCGAUAAGGGCUGCCUUUCCAUAGAGUAAUAUCCUGUGGGAAUAAGAGGGGGGCAAGACUGGUGUCAGCCGCCGCGGUAACACCAGCCCCUCGAGUGGUGGGGACUAUUAUUUGGCCUAAAGCGUCUGUAGCUGGCUGUAUCCGUCUCCCGGUAAAUCCGGCGUCCUAAGCGUCGGUUCUCGGGUGAUGCCAUACAGCUAGAGGGUGGGAUAGGUGAGCGGUAUUUCUGGGGUAGGGGCGAAAUCCUUUGAUCCCAGGAGGACCACCAGUGGCGAAGGCUGCUCACUAGAACACGCCUGACGGUCAGGGACGAAAGCUGGGGCAGCGAACCGGAUUAGAUACCCGGGUAGUCCCAGCUGUAAACGAUGCUAGCUAGGUGUUGGGUCGGCCACGCGCCGCCCCAGUGCCGCAGGGAAGCCGUUAAGCUAGCCGCCUGGGGAGUACGGCCGCAAGGCUGAAACUUAAAGGAAUUGGCGGGGGAGCAC